GAAAUGCGAUACGUAGUGUGAAUUGCAGAAUUACGUGAAUCAUCAAGUCUUUGAACGCAUAUUGCGCUCGAGGCCUCGGCCGAGAGCAUGUCUGCCUCAGCGUCGGGUUAAUACUCGCUCCAACCAUACCUGUAUGGGCAUGGCUAUACGAGCGGAACUGGUCGUCCCAGGCGUGUGCUUGUGCUUCACCGCACUCGCGCAUCAACGGCUGGGUCGGCUGAAGUGCAGAGGUUGAUACAUGGACCCGUUAUGGGCCGCAGAUGGUUAGGCAUGCUUCGGCAGCUAUUUUUCUAUCUGUUGGCUUGGCGUCGUAAUGUGUCUGACCCUAUCACAGGAACCUCACUUUAUUUCCUCGACCUGAGCUCAGGCAAGAACACCCGCUGAACUUAA
Molecule: unclassified non-coding RNA, 390 nt
Filed under: uncultured fungus
Lineage: Eukaryota; Fungi
Description: sequence contains ITS1
Rfam family: 5.8S ribosomal RNA (bases 1-105)
Source: RNAcentral